This is an RNA transcript of Populus trichocarpa (black cottonwood), 2421 nucleotides long. RefSeq lists it as uncharacterized. NCBI's taxonomy places the organism in Eukaryota, Viridiplantae, Streptophyta, Magnoliopsida, Malpighiales, Salicaceae. The record is from RefSeq and is a predicted model, not a curated record. The transcript is spliced from 5 exons.
AAUUUCGUUUCUUGUUGUGCUUUUUAACGUAUUUCAUAGAAUGAUUCUUUGUGCUCUCUAUUGUUUUGUCCAGUAUCUUUUAUCAUUUCCCACUCCCUCUUCUUCUAUCUUUCGGGAUUUCCCUGAGUUCUUUUCUUCCGUACCUCCUUUGGGCGCUUAUGAUUCAUAUUUUCACAAUUAAGUUGAAAAUAAUUACAAAAUCUCGUCAUUUGUUUCUGUCAAAACGUUAUUUGUUCUGCUAUAUCUAAGUGUGACAUAUGAAAAUAUUGCUUGUUUAUGGGAUGAAAUCCCCCCUUUUCACUGGGUUAUGUUUUCGGAAGGGGGGGUGGUGCAGAUGGGGUGUUUGAGAUGACGGAGCCACCCAGUUGUGUAAAGGAUCAAUGGAAUUUAUGUUUGUGUUCAUAUUUUUAACCAAAAUAUUUACAACUGUUGCGUGCAAAUGUGUUAGCGAGGGAGGGCAGGAGUCGGCAUUUAAUUUAUUGCUCAUGGAUGGAAGUAGUUUAUUACCGGCGCCUGAAACUAAUAUAGCAGCUCUGAAAGAAGCCCUUUAUACACAGCAACAUCUUCUGCAAACCCUUUAUGCCGACCUAGAUGAGGAAAGAGAAGCCUCAGCCACUGCAGCCAGCGAAGCUUUAUCUAUGAUAUUGCGGUUGCAAGGUGAAAAGGCUUCACUGAAGAUGGAAGCAAGCCAAUAUAAGAGAAUGGCAGAGGAAAAGAUGUGUCAUGCAGAAGAGGCUCUGGCAAUUGUAGAAGACCUCAUAUAUCAGAGAGAAAUGGAGAUUGCAUCUCUUGAAUACCAAGUUCAGGCUUAUAGGUACAGACUUUUAAGCAUGGGCUGUAAUGAUUUGUGUGUGUACGAGAAUACUUAUCCAGAGAAUCUGUUAAUGCAAAGAAACGAUCCUUUAUUUGGGGAAAAUGGUGCCAAUGGAAAUGUAAGGAGAUUCAACUCUCCGCCUCAGGUUUCAACCAAGGAUGCCAGUUACAAUAAAAGUGAUAUUGAAAGGAAAAAAUCUAUAGUCCCUGUGCUAGAUACAAUGCAAAUGAAUGCGGAGGAAAUUGCAAUUCGAGAAGCUAAUGAUUCAGAGAAGAAAUCAGGGAGCCCUUCUGGUGCACACGUUGGUUCAUAUUGGGAGCAGAUCAAAAGGUUGGAUGAACGGGUAAAAGAGAUUUCUGACGACAAAGAUCCCGGUAGGAAAAACUCUGCAAUCUGGAAGGGUGGCACUUGGUCUCCGUCAUUGUUUUCACAAAUGGGCACUGGCACAUCUGGCGAUCUAACAAGAACGGAAAAUUCUACUCAUUCAGACAAAGUUAAACAGCAUCAGGAUUCACGGGAAAGUGUUCAGGAUAUUUUUGAAGUCCCACAAACUAUCGAGAGUUGCAAAGUUUCUGAACAUCCUGUGAAAGAACGUCACAAAAUGACUUUGGAAGGUGAAAAAAGGCUUCAAAAGCCAGAUAUGGUAUCUGAGGAUAUUCUGAUAACGCCUAAUAAAGAUAAAAGAGACCUGGUAAAGGCAAUGGUGCUUUCCACGGUCCAUGAGAAGAAAUUGCCUAAGCCAAAAGAUCGGGCAAGUUUUCACCGCAAUGUGUCUCCUGUGAGCCGCCCAGCAAUUAGUGCAAGCAAUUCUCAAGCUGAGUAUCAACAGCUGAGUCAGAGAGUUGAGAGGCUUGAGAGAGUAAGAAACAAUACAAGCCAAGAAAUUAUUUCUGAAGGGGAAGAGGAACUGAAUUUGUUGAAGGAGAUACGAGAACAACUCAAUUCAAUACAGUCUGAGAUCAGAAGUUUGAAAAAAACAAAAAAUCCCCAUGCUGCAGUUAAGCAACCUUUAGAUCUUCUCCAAGAGGCAAUGCUGUACUUUUGGUUUUAAUUAGAGCAAUCAAGUUCUUACUGCCUUAAUCACAGAAUUUUUAUGAAUUUCCGGGUUCUGAUACACCUGCAACAAGGGCUACUUUGUAAGGAUGAUGUUUUGAUUUUGAAUAGAGUGAAUAUUAUACAAACUCUCAAUUCCUGUUCAUGAGUGGAGAGAACAAGGCUGUUUCUGGUUUCAUUUUCCUUCCUCCAAAUGAGUUUCGGGAGAAGGACUUCACGCAUAUUCUAACACAAUUGUCAUUCUCUGCCACGAUAUACUUGAUAUAGUAUGAGAGGAACACUCAUGUCUUCUACCAGCUCCACUGAUCACAGCAUGAUACGGUGAAAGAGAUCUUCAGCUUGUUGAGAUUACGACUUCUAGACAUAAAAUCCUGAUACUAUAUGUAGAGAUCAGAUCUACUUGAUAGCUUCGAUUUCUAUAUUUAUUCAUGUUGUUUUAUUUUAGUUUGAUGUUGUUUAGUUUUUUGAGCUUUCUUGUAGUCUAUUUGUUUUAAUUUUAUAGGUUUCAUGACUUUUAAAUCUGGAUAACGGAUUUAUUGUAUUUCUUGGGGUAU